Long non-coding RNA from Rosa chinensis, 1826 nucleotides. RefSeq lists it as uncharacterized. The record is from RefSeq and is a predicted model, not a curated record. The transcript has 10 exons. Lineage: Eukaryota; Viridiplantae; Streptophyta; Magnoliopsida; Rosales; Rosaceae.
UUUCUUUGUUUUGUUAAUUAAAGUAUCUGUUGUAGCUUUUGAAUAUCUACAGAAGCCAAAGCUUUUUCGCACUGUGAAAUCAAGAGAACAAAUGAAGACCACAUUAUUUGUUAUAUAGCAUAUAGUUAACAAAGCAUUGUUUGUAUUAAAUAGUGGAAAUACAGUGCCACAGGUUAUAACUUUAAUUCAUUUUUAAGUUGAACUUUUCUUUGUCUUUCUCUUUAUAAUAGGUUCUUCAUCAGACUAUCAACUGAGGACUAUGACUUUGACAAUGCUUUUGGGGUUCUCUGCCGUAUAUGCAGGUUUUAAGUUCUGAUUUUUAAUGAAGAUGCUACUAAGCUUCCUCUGCCAUAUCCUAAAGUCGGAUAUCUUACUGUACGACCAGUACGGAAACCAAUUGCAUGUCAUAGUGAUUGGCUAUGACCAUAAUUUAUUUUGAACAAUGAAGGACUUCAACAGCAGGUCACCAAAGGUGACGAAAAGCAAGCAGAAGAUCAGGAGAUACAGCUAUGAAAGUUAAUAUUCUAGAUAUAUGUUCUGUUACAGUUUGCCACCAGAUAUGAAAUCAAUAAAAUUUAUGGGGUAUCAAAUUUCUUGCCGCAGUUUAUCGACCCAAAGUAGGGACAAAGAAGAAUGAAAAUCCUAAAAAAGCUUGCAUUGAGGUUAUUUGGAAGCCUAAAACAAGCAAGAGUGGUCAGUUUCUGCAACUAUAUUUGUGUUUUGUGGAAAAACAUAAAGGGAAUAUGAGAUGAUAUUGAAAAGGACCUUGCAAAGCAUCUGUAUAUGGACAUCGGGCUGUGUUACGUACUCAGAAGUUUGUUGACUACUCAGCAUUUGAUGACCAUGGUUUCUACUGUCUUUGGCACAGUCAACAAAUGCCUUGAUUAUAUCUAAGUAGAACAUUCUACUUCAUGUAGAGAUAUCUGUUUUCAGUUGUUCGGGAAGCCUCUACUUACACCGACCUCAACCCUCGACUGUAUCUCUUUGUUCGGGAAGCAUCUGUUUACACUGACCUCUACUGUUACACCCAAAUACCCAAAUCGUUGAUCCUAAUCGUGCCACUACUGAUUCCUCCGUGUUUUCUACAGCCAUAUAAAUGACAUUGAGAGAGUUAGGUACCCAAUACAAUUUCUUUAGGAAUUCACUCUUUGUGGCCCUAUACUAUCAGUUCUGAACAAGCGAACUCAUCUCCGGGUUUGUUUUGGCUUGUUCAGUGGAUUGUCCCUCCACAAUUUCUCAUUCUCUCUGAUCUUAUUCCCCGACCGAUAGUGAGAAGCAGAAAGAAAGCAGCCGAGAGAAAGAGAGAGAGAGAGAGAGAGAGAGAGAGAGAGAGAGAGAGAGGGUACGUAUCAGUGCAACCCAGCUACAACCGAUUGUUACAUCAAUGUUUUCCUCCAUGAUCGAGAGAUAGAGUUGUCGUUUGGAGGAGUUUUUGAUGGUGCAACCCAGACGGAGCUUUGUUGCUUGCGAUUUGCGAAUUUGGAUUUUGAUCAAGGAAUAUAUUCGGCAAAGAAGACCUCAUUUGGUAAGUGUUCUUGCUGUCUAGACUUUUGUUGAAUUUAGCAUGAGAAUUGUCAGAGAAAUCAUGCUCAAGUUUAAAUCUUUAGAAAUUUUUUGAUAAGGUUUCUUUUUCUGAGAACUCUAGAGGAUUAAUUUCUUUGAAGUUGUAAGUUUUCAACUUUUUAGUAUAAUUUUAAAGCCAUGGCCACAGAGUAGAGUAGAAAACUGAAAUGAGUUGGUCUGCUGGUGUGAGAUUAUAUGCUGUUGAGGAACUCUUCUUAUGCUUAAAUUAAAGAUGGUAUAUGAAACAGGGUUAUUGCUCUAUG